UACGGAGGGUGCAAGCGUUAUCCGGAAUCAUUGGGUUUAAAGGGUCCGCAGGCGGGAUUGUAAGUCAGUGGUGAAAAGCGGUAGCUCAACUAUCGUCGUGCCAUUGAUACUGCAGUCCUUGAAUUCGAUUGGAGUGGGCGGAAUAUGUCAUGUAGCGGUGAAAUGCUUAGAUAUGACAUAGAACACCGAUAGCGAAGGCAGCUCACUAAGUCUGAAUUGACGCUCAUGGACGAAAGCGCGGGUAGCAAAC
RNAcentral lists this ribosomal RNA (250 nucleotides) under uncultured bacterium. Its description in RNAcentral is "partial 16S ribosomal RNA". It matches the Rfam family "Bacterial small subunit ribosomal RNA", at positions 524 to 773 of the family's 1533-position model. The record is from RNAcentral.